RNAcentral lists this ribosomal RNA (713 nucleotides) under Salmonella enterica subsp. enterica serovar Infantis. Its description in RNAcentral is "bacterial SSU rRNA". It matches the Rfam family "Bacterial small subunit ribosomal RNA", at positions 802 to 1515 of the family's 1533-position model. The record is from RNAcentral. Lineage: Bacteria; Pseudomonadati; Pseudomonadota; Gammaproteobacteria; Enterobacterales; Enterobacteriaceae.
GUAAACGAUGUCUACUUGGAGGUUGUGCCCUUGAGGUGUGGCUUCCGGAGCUAACGCGUUAAGUAGACCGCCUGGGGAGUACGGCCGCAAGGUUAAAACUCAAAUGAAUUGACGGGGGCCCGCACAAGCGGUGGAGCAUGUGGUUUAAUUCGAUGCAACGCGAAGAACCUUACCUGGUCUUGACAUCCACAGAAGAAUCCAGAGAUGGAUUUGUGCCUUCGGGAACUGUGAGACAGGUGCUGCAUGGCUGUCGUCAGCUCGUGUUGUGAAAUGUUGGGUUAAGUCCCGCAACGAGCGCAACCCUUAUCCUUUGUUGCCAGCGGUCCGGCCGGGAACUCAAAGGAGACUGCCAGUGAUAAACUGGAGGAAGGUGGGGAUGACGUCAAGUCAUCAUGGCCCUUACGACCAGGGCUACACACGUGCUACAAUGGCGCAUACAAAGAGAAGCGACCUCGCGAGAGCAAGCGGACCUCAUAAAGUGCGUCGUAGUCCGGAUUGGAGUCUGCAACUCGACUCCAUGAAGUCGGAAUCGCUAGUAAUCGUGGAUCAGAAUGCCACGGUGAAUACGUUCCCGGGCCUUGUACACACCGCCCGUCACACCAUGGGAGUGGGUUGCAAAAGAAGUAGGUAGCUUAACCUUCGGGAGGGCGCUUACCACUUUGUGAUUCAUGACUGGGGUGAAGUCGUAACAAGGUAACCGUAGGGGAACCUGC